UACGAAGGGUGCAAGCGUUACUCGGAAUUACUGGGCGUAAAGGGCGCGUAGGCGGCCGCCUAAGUCAGACGUGAAAUCCCUCGGCUCAACCGGGGAACUGCGUCUGAUACUGGGUGGCUUGAAUCCGGGAGAGGGAUGCGGAAUUCCAGGUGUAGCGGUGAAAUGCGUAGAUAUCCGGAGGAACACCGGUGGCGAAGGCGGCUUCCUGGACCGACACUGACGCUGAGGCGCGAAAGCCAGGGGAGCAAACGGG
This 253-nucleotide ribosomal RNA is filed under the name uncultured bacterium. RNAcentral describes it as "partial 16S ribosomal RNA". It matches the Rfam family "Bacterial small subunit ribosomal RNA", at positions 524 to 776 of the family's 1533-position model. The record is from RNAcentral.